GGCGUGGAUAAGACAUGCAAGUCGAGCGGGACAUUUCGGGUAGCAAUAUUCGGAAUGUUCAGCGGCGCAAGGGUGCGUAACACGUGGGCAAUUUACCAUAAAGCUUGGGAUAACUCGCUGAAAGGCGAGCUAAUACCGGAUGUGAAGUCAGGGAGGCAUCUCCUGGACUUUAAAGUUGGGGACCGCAAGGCCUGACACUUUAUGAUAAGCCCGCGGCCUAUCAGCUAGUUGGUGAGGUAACGGCUCACCAAGGCUAAGACGGGUAGCUGGUCUGAGAGGACGACCAGCCACACUGGAACUGAGACACGGUCCAGACACCUACGGGUGGCAGCAGUCGAGAAUUUUUCACAAUGGGCGAAAGCCUGAUGGAGCGACGCCGCGUGGGGGAUGAAUGGCUUCGGCCUGUAAAGCCCUGUCAUUUGCGAACAAACCUUUCCACCCAACACGG
Molecule: ribosomal RNA, 448 nt
Filed under: uncultured bacterium
Lineage: Bacteria
Description: bacterial SSU rRNA
Rfam family: Bacterial small subunit ribosomal RNA
Source: RNAcentral